GGUUGUAUUGCCUCGUCUUCAAAAGAUGGUAAAAAUGGGAUCUCAAAAACAGUGAGAGAAGAAAGAGCAUAAGUUGAAAAAAAUGUAAAGCCAAAUUUGGAAAAAAAAAUAAAUAAUGAUCUCAUAUAUCUGCACACCUUAAAAGAGUUAAAAAAACAUAUAUAUAUUAAGAUACAUCUUAUUAAUUGUUAAAUAUUUGAGUAAGGACAUUAUGAUUUAAUUAAAUAAAUUUCAUUUGAUAAGAUGUGAGCUACUUCUAUUUUGACUAUAAUAAUAG
RNAcentral lists this unclassified non-coding RNA (277 nucleotides) under Hevea brasiliensis (rubber tree). The record is from RNAcentral. Lineage: Eukaryota; Viridiplantae; Streptophyta; Magnoliopsida; Malpighiales; Euphorbiaceae.